RNAcentral lists this ribosomal RNA (467 nucleotides) under uncultured bacterium. RNAcentral's name for it is "partial 16S ribosomal RNA". It matches the Rfam family "Bacterial small subunit ribosomal RNA", at positions 29 to 507 of the family's 1533-position model. The record is from RNAcentral.
ACGAACGCUGGCGGCGUGCUUAACACAUGCCAGUCGAACGGAAAGGCCCUGCUUUUGUGGGGUGCUCGAGUGGCGAACGGGUGAGUAACACGUGAGUAACCUGCCCUUGACUUUGGGAUAACUUCAGGAAACUGGGGCUAAUACCGGAUAGGAGCUCCUGCUGCAUGGUGGGGGUUGGAAAGUUUCGGCGGUUGGGGAUGGACUCGCGGCUUAUCAGCUUGUUGGUGGGGUAGUGGCUUACCAAGGCUUUGACGGGUAGCCGGCCUGAGAGGGUGACCGGCCACAUUGGGACUGAGAUACGGCCCAGACUCCUACGGGAGGCAGCAGUGGGGAAUAUUGCACAAUGGGCGGAAGCCUGAUGCAGCAACGCCGCGUGCGGGAUGACGGUCUUCGGGUUGUAAACCGCUUUCGCCUGUGACGAAGCGUGAGUGACGGUAAUGGGUAAAGAAGCACCGGCUAACUACGUG